GCUCCGUGUUAAGCAGCACCGUGGCGGUUCCACGCUGAGUGCAGCGUGCUCGGCUCUCUCGUUGCAGGGUGUCAGGCAGAGUGGAAGGAGAGGAGGAGAAGGGAAGUCGGGGACGUCGGUCAUGUCUAGGCGCUGGUGUUCUGGUGGCCCCAGCUAAGAAUUUGGAAGGGUGAAAAGAAAGUUAUUUUUUCUCCCUUACACUGGUAAAAUGAUAGCUGCAAGGAUGUCUGUCACGGGACAAUAAAGUGAAAAAUUUACCAUUCACUAUCUCCAAACUAUUUAGAGGUAUAGGGAGGGCAUUGCUCACAUGAGGAUUGAACACCAGCUUCAGGGUCCCAGUUUGUUAAGGAAAUCGAAGGGUGUGAUCAACAGCUCGUGCACUGCCGUGCUGCGAACCCAGAGUUCAGGCACUGACGUGGCGCUUCUGAUGGGUAGGUACGUGAUGUAACCCUCACUUGUGCUUUGAUUCUGUUACCCGCUUCCACACAAUGGGCUCCCCGCUCAAGGCAGGUGCCUCACUGAAUUUCCCGUGUUAGUGUCUGGUUGGCACUGUGUCUGUCCAUCUAUAUUCAGUUGCUGUAAUUGUUUACUGUGACGAUCAGGAGAGUUCUUGCCCAUGCGAUUGCGUUAUCAGCCUACUUGGUGAGCUCCGAUACCCCUGAGCUCAGUUUAGCUCAAAGCCCAGAAAAGCCUUUGUUUUAACUAGAGCCGAUUCUGCACAUCUGAGAGGUGUGGCACAUAACUCCCGGGCACGUUUGGGGUUUUAAUCCAGUUUAUACUGGUGCCGUGGAGGGUACGGUCUUAAUGCUCAAGACUGAGCCAAGGCAGGGCUCUUUCAUUAACCUGAGACCUUUAAAAACUACCAAAGUAGCCUGGUACUUUGAUAUCCCUAGAGGUAGGACAGAAUUUCAGGUGAUCCUCUUUGUCCCCCUGGAUUGCUGUGGAAAGGACCUCCUGUCAUCCUGCAUUGGAAUCUCUGAAGGAAGAUGCGAAACUUCCCUUGCGAAAGGUCCAAAAGUGAAACUGUCUGACAACCACAGAUUAACAGAAGGACGACAUACAAAUUUAUUUGAUGUUUUAUGUGACAUGGGAUCCUUUACAUGGAAAUGAAGACCUGAUGAAACAGACUUGGGUAUUUUAUGCUAGGUUUGAUAAAGAGUGGACAAUCACGGAAGACUAUGAUAGGUUAAGAAGUAUUAGGUAAUUGUAGUAAAUGGGGAUCAUCUUAACAAAAUCUAUUUUUUUUCAGAUUAUUGACAUCCUUUCUAAUUCAGAGAUAAAGUUGCUCCUUUCCUCCCAGUAUAGGGAGAGUGCCUGUCACAUGAGGGUUUUAUUACCUGUUUCAGGGGAGAAAGACAAGUGAGGGAGAAGGUCAAAGACACCAGUCUGUUUCUGCCUUUUCUCAAACUCCCUUCAGCUUAAAAUACUAAAUGUCAGUGUGCCAAAUGGUAAAUGUCCUGAACACCAUCAGUGUACUUUACUACAAUAAAAUAAGUGACAAAUCUGCAUUUUAGAAUUAUUGGAUGCUGGCAGUUGCCUAAAUGGGUGAGAUUUAGUCUGAUAAUUUCUAAUAAUUUUUGCUUAAUUGUAAUACAUUCUUGUGUGCACUAGUCAGAAGCUGAAAUAACAGCAUUUGGCAUGCAAAAAUAAGGAUCAUUAAAACUAUUUUAAAAGAAUUUUUCUGUAAUUUUAUUGACAUAUAGUUGAUUUUAUAAUAUUUUGUUAAUUUUUUCUCCACAGCAAAGUGAUUCAGAUAUUUCUUUUCCAUUAUGAUUUGUCCAGGAUACUGAAUGUAGUUUCCUGGGCUAUGUACCGAAGGACCUUGUUUAUCCAUCUUACAUGUAAUAGUUUGCUAAUUCGCAACUCCCAAUCCUUCCUUUACCUAUUCCCCCCUUGGCAACCACAAGUCUGUUCUCUAUAUCUGUGAGUCUGUUUUAGAUUUUACAGAUAUGUUGGUUUGUGUUGUAUUUUAGAUUACACAUGUAACUGAUAUCAUGUGGUAUUUAUCUUUUUCUGACUUAUUUUGCUAAGUAUAAUAAUCUAUAGGUCCUGCAAAUGAAAUUAUUUUUUGAUUGCUGAGUAAUACUCCAUUUAUAUGUACAACAUUUGCUUUAUCCAGAGCCACACCUGUGGCAUAUGGAAGUUCCCAGGCUAGGGGUUGACUCGGAGCUACAACUGCCAGCCUAUGCCACAGGCACAGCAAUAUAACAUCCGAGCUACGUCUGCAGCCUACAACC
This is a non-coding RNA of Sus scrofa (pig), 2237 nucleotides long. The record is from RefSeq and is a predicted model, not a curated record. Lineage: Eukaryota; Metazoa; Chordata; Mammalia; Artiodactyla; Suidae.